Small nuclear RNA from Choloepus didactylus (southern two-toed sloth), 107 nucleotides. The record is from RefSeq and is a predicted model, not a curated record. Lineage: Eukaryota; Metazoa; Chordata; Mammalia; Pilosa; Megalonychidae.
GUACUCACUUCGGCAGCAUAUAUACUAAAAUGGGAAUGAUACAGAGAAGAUUAGCGUGGCCCCUGUGCAAGGAUGAUAAGCAAACUCGUGAAGCGUUUCAUAUUUUA